Molecule: ribosomal RNA, 42351 nt
Filed under: Marasmius tenuissimus
Lineage: Eukaryota; Fungi; Basidiomycota; Agaricomycetes; Agaricales; Marasmiaceae
Description: small subunit ribosomal RNA
Source: RNAcentral
UAAUUAAACAAUCAUAAUUUUUAAAUUAAAAUUGUUAUAUUUUAUAUGUAUAAUACAAUAUUUAUUAUCUCUUUUAAUAAUAAUAUUUUUUUUUAUUAAUCUUUUUUAUUUGUUUUAAUGUAAACAAAAACCUAUCUCUCCCUAAUGUUACAUUUGCUUAGCUGCGCAAGGGGUGAUAUGCCAUUAAUAUACAACAUGACAUAAAAUAAUAUUAAAAAUAAAUUUAUUUGAGUUAAUAAAGUUUACUCAAUUAAGAUUUCAUCAAUUUUUUAAUUAAUGAAAUAGUUGAGAAAAAAUACUAAAAUUGAAAUUGAUUUCAUGACAUUAGAUAUUGAAACAUAUUUAAAUAAAGAUAAUUUUCAAAUUCCUUAUUGUAUUUGUAUUUACAAUGGUAAAAUAUGUAAUUCUUAUUAUUACCAAUAUUUCAAAUCUCCAGAAGAUAUCUUAUUAAAAGCAAUAAAGUCAAUUUGUAUUCCAGAAUAUAAUAAUUAUAAUGUUUAUGCUCACAAUUUUAGUUCUUUUGAUGGUAUAUUCAUUUUAAAAAUAUUAAAUAGAUUAGGUAAUAUUGAGCCAGUCAUUAAAGAUGGUAAAAUAAUUUCAGUAAAAUUGAUUUAUUACAAUAAAGCUCAACGGAAAUAUCAUAGUAUUACUUUCUUAGAUAGUAUUCUAUUACUGAAUGCAAGUUUAAGAAAGUUGGCAAAAUCAUUUAAUACUUCUACCCAAAAAGGUAAUUUAGAUGUAACAAUGAUUAAGGAAAAUAACUACUUACAUCAUAAAGAUGAAGUUAUCAGAUACUGUGCAGAUGAUUGUAUUUCACUAUAUCAAAUUCUAGUUAAAUUCAAUAAUUUAUUUAUGGAAAGAUGAAUAAAACUGUUCCAUUCUUUUAGUUAAUUUAUUAUUUAGUUAAUUUAUUAUUAAAUUAAUUUAAGAGGGGUAAAAUUAAAUUUUUAUUAAAUUAAGCAUCAUCCAUGCUUCGCUUGUACAGGAAGAAGCAGCUUAGCUAUUUUUUAAAUUUAAAAAUGCGGCUAAACAUAAAAGAUUUGUUAAUUUAAUUACUUCAUUAAUACUGUCAUUAAAUAUCAAUGAACUGAAUAAUAUAGAAAGUAAGAAUAAAAAUGCUAUACUUAUAUAAAGAGCAUAUGUUGUAAUAACACCGGAAUCUAAUUUAGCUAUAUUUUUAGCUAUAUUUAAAAUAGAAUUACUUAAUCCAAAAGGUCCUACAAGUUCAAUUACACCUCUAUCUAUUUGUUUAGAAACAGCAUAUCCUAAUUUAAAUCCAUUAUUAAUUAUAAAGUGAUUAUAAAUUAUAUCAAAGUAAUAUUUAUUAUUAAAUAUAUUAUAUAAUUUUCUUCCUAUUAAUGUUUUAGUUAUAUUAUUUAUUAGCUCAGGUUUUUUAAGAUAUAAUAUUAAAGCAGAAACUACUCCUAUUAAACUUAAUAAAGAUGGUAAUAAUUUAGUAAAUAUACUUAGAGAAAAUUCAGCUUCAACUAAAGUAAUAUUAUUAGGAUGAAUAAAUAAAGAGUUACCGAAGAAAUCAGAACCAAUACCUACAAACAUAUCAGAGAAUAAAUAUCCAAAAAAUAUACUAAACAAUGAUAAAAAUACUAAUGGAACAAUAACAGCUAAUCCUGAUUCAUGUGCACCUAGGUAAGAUUGUUUAUUACCGUUAGGUGAAGUUAGGAAAACUAAACUAAUUAAUCUAAAACUAUAAAAAGCUGUUAUUCCUGCUGUAAUAGAACCUAAAAUGAAUGCAUACAUUUGAGUAAAAUUAUAAUUACCGUAAGCUAAUUCUAUAAUUAAAUCUUUACUAUAAAAUCCAGAUAAAAAUGGAGUAGCUAAUAAUGAUAAUGUACCAACUAACAUAACUGAAUAAGUAAAUGGUAAAAAUUUAAUUAAACCACCCAUUUUUCUAACAUCUUGUUGAUCAGAAAAUGAAUGAAUUACAGCACCUGCUGCUAAGAAUAAUAAGGCUUUAAAGAAAGCAUGAUUUACAGUAUGGAAUAAAGCCACAUUAUAUUGACUAAGUCCUAUAGCCAUCACCAUAUAACCUAAUUGACUGAUUGUUGAAAAAGCAAUAAUUCUUUUUAAAUCAUUUUGAACCAAUCCUGAUGUAGCUGCAAAAAAGGCUGUUGAAGCUCCAACUAUAGUAAUUACCAUAAGUGCUGUUGGACUAUAUUCUAAUAUAGGACUACAUCUUAAUAGUAAAUAGAUUCCAGCAGUAACUAGAGUAGCAGCAUGCAAUAAAGCAGAAACUGGAGUAGGGGCCUCCAUUGAACCAGGCAACCAACUAUGUAAUGGAAUUUGAGCUGAUUUAGCACAAGCUCCUCCAAACAAUAGUAAAGCUAUAAUAGUUAUUGCUGUUUCAUUCAUAUAAGGUGUUAAUGAAAAUACAGAAGAAUAAUUUAAAGUUCCAAAUAAAGCAAAAAUAGCGAAGAAACCUAUACUCAUUAACAUAUCACCUUGUCUAUUCAUUGUAAAUGCUAAAAUUGCAGCUUUGUUAGCUUGAAUUCUUGUAAAGUAAAAAUUAAUUAGAAGAUAUGAUACUACUCCUAUAGCUUCCCAACCUACAAACAUUACUAAAAAAUUACCACCAGUAAUUAAUACUAACAUUCCAAAGGUAAAGGCUGAAAGAUAAGAAAAGAAUCUUUGAAUGUGAGGAUCUUCUGCUAAAUAAUAAAUACUAUAAAUGUGAAUUGCAGUUGAACAAUAUAAAACAGCCAUACCUAACAUAACUGUUAAUUGAUCAAAAUAAAAUACUCAAGAAAUACUCAUAAAUUCAGAAUCUAUUCAACUUCCUAAAUUAAUUUCAACGGGUGAACCGCAUAAACAUACUUGAUAAAAAGCAAUAGUCAUUAAUAUAGAAGAUAAACCUAAACAUAAACAUGAGAUAAAUUGUGAACCAGUUACACCUAGUUUUCUACCUAGAAAACCUGAUCCAAUUGAACCUAAUAAAGGUAAUAAUAAAAUUGAUAAAUACAUUAUUUUUUAGUUUCUUAUUGAGAUUGUACCUCUUAAUCGAUAAUAUGCAACAAGAAUACUUAAACCAAUUACAGAUUCAGCACCUGCAAUAGAAAUAAUAUAUAAACUAAAGGUCUGUCCAGCAUUAUCAUCAAAUCCGAAUGAACUAAUUAAUACUAAUAAAGUAACAGCCAAAAGCAUUAUUUCGAUAGCAAUUAUCAUAAGUAUAAUAUUUUUUCUAUUUAAUAUAAAUCCUAAAAUACCUAUUAAAAAUAAUAAUAUUGAUAAAUUCAUUAGUUUAAAUAUUUUUGUUUAAAAACUUUUUAGUUAUUUGAAAAAUGAAUUUUUUUGUUUUAUUUAAAAAAAAACAAAUAAACUAUAAAAAAAAAAAGUAACAAUGCUAUACUUCUGCAGGUCCGGCGCUAGCGCUACGCAGAGCAGGAGAUAUAUCACUGCUGAGCAGAGCAAUUUUUAUUGCUUGCCGCUGUGCUUGUGCUAUGCAGCGAGGGGGGGUAUAAAUGGUUCCAAUUCAAAUAAAACCAAAGCAAAGAAUUGGAUAUAUAGAAUGAGUUAAGAUAUAUAAUAACAAGAGAUAUAUAAUUUCUUAAGUUAUUAAUUAUUUCUUGAAUUAAUACUAAUGUAUAAAUAUCAAAUUUAUUUAUUUUUUUUCUAAUUUUUAUAAAACAUAAAAUUAAAUACUGUAAUAAUUAUAAAUAAUAUACAAAUUUAACUGUAUCCUUUAAUUAUGAUAUAAUUUUUUUAAUAUUUACGUUUUUAAAUUACUAGUUAAUCAUACAAUAAACUUAUAUUUAAAUUAGUUACUUCCUCAGAAAUAUACAGCAAUGAAUAAAAAUAAUCAUACUACGUCAACAAAAUGCCAGUAAAGAAUUCCAGUUUCAAAUCCUACGUGACCUUGUUUAUUAACAUUGUAGUUGAUAAUUCUAAUAAAUCCAAUAACUAUAAAGAUUGUUCCAACAAUAACAUGGAAUCCGUGUAGACCUGUUGAAGCAUAGAAUGUAGUUCCAAAUACACUAUCGGCUAUUGUAAAUUGUGAAUCUGAAUAUUCAAUAUAUUGGAAUAUUGUGAAUACAACAGCUAAUACAAUAGUCAUAAAUAAACUAUUUAUUGUGUGUUUUCUUUUUCCAGCUAUAAAAGCAUGGUGAGCAUAAGUAAUAAAUGCUCCACUAGAUAAUAAUAAGAAAGUAUUAAGUAAAGGUAUAGCGAAAGGAUCUAAAGGUGUGAUACCUAAUGGAGGUCAUACUCCACCUAUUUCCACGUUAGGUACUAUACUAGCAUGAAAGUAAGCUCAAAAUACUGAAAUAAAAGCAAAUACUUCACUAACAAUAAAAAGUAUGAAUCCUAUCAUUAGUCCAUUUUUAACUUCUUUUGUAUGAUGACCUAAGAAACUUCCUUCAGUAUUAACAUCACCUAAUCAAAAAUACAUUAUAGAUAAUGUUAAUAUAAAUCCUAAGUUUAAUAAUAAUACUCCAUUAUUAAAACCGUGUAUUGAUAACACAGCACCAAUAGCCAUAAAAAAUAAUGAUCAACUUAUUAAGAAAGGCCAAGGAGAUUGAUCAACUAAAUGAUAUGAAUGAGAUUGAAAUUUAUUUUUAUUGUUUAUUAUUUGUAAAUUUGUUGUCAUUAAAUAAAUUUUACCUUUACGUAAGAAUUUAAAUAUUAAUUUCUAAUUUAAUUAAAUUAAGUUACUAUUAUCUAGUGACUUUUUAUUUAGCUAUUUAUUAACUUAGCCAUUAUUAAGAUUGUUUAAUAAAAGAAAAAUUAAUAAAAAAUUUAAUUAAACCUUAGUACAUAAAUAUGUACUGAUUAACUGCUUAAAAAGAUUUCUAUUUUUAAUGAAUUAUGUUAAAAUAAAAAUAGGAAUUGUAUGAUUGAUCAGAUUCAAACUGAUAAUACUGCCUUGGUAAGAAUGCUUCCUCUACUUAUUACUUAUUAUUAGUUUUAGUAGAAGAAAGUAAAGCAACUGUUAUUCAUAUUUAACUACAACCAUUGUUUUAUUCUUCUUUUAAAUUUUUAUAAUAUCUAUAAAAAAUAAAUCCAAAUUUAGAUUAAAUAAAGCAAUUACUCCUUCCUGCGGAGGAAGUAGGCCUUAAAAAGACUAGUGAAUCUAUUAAAAUUUUUUUAAAUUAUUAAUUAAAAAAAAGCUAAAUUAAAAAAAGCAAAAAUUAAAUCUUAUUAUUUUUAAAGUAGAAAUAAACUUUAGUAAUAAAUCAAGAGUUAUAAUUUUAAUAAUAACAAAUUAUGAGGGUUAAAUUAAUCUUCGUUACCUUUAUUUUGCCCGGAGAAUAGCUUUUAAUAAUUGUGUACAAAUUUAAUUUGUACAAGUAAAUCCUUAUAAUCAUUCUCAAUAAUAAGUACGGAGCUGCAAUAACUAAGCAUUAUCCACUUUCUCUUAGAAUUAGAUUAAGACUAAGAAUAAGAAAAAUGAUUAUAAUUUCCUUCUGCUUCCUAAGGAUGCUAGCAAGGCAAGUAAGAGCUACACUACAUAAAUGCAUUAUAUUCGAUUUCGUUUACUGCAUAGUACAUACUUAUUUAAUUAUCUGGCUUUUUUUUUUGGUCUCCGGCUGCUGAGCCGAAAUGGCUUUCCAAUUCUACUUAAAAAAGUGCUACGCUGCUACGCUGCUACGCUUUGGUAGAAAGUAGGGUCUGCCAAUAAAUAAAUUUUUUUUUUAUUUUCUUAAUUUAUAAAAUUAAGAUUGCACAGGAAGUGAAUUAAAUGCAUGUAAAGGUACAGGAGUAGAAAGAGUUCAUUCAAUACUAUUAGCUGAAGGGAUAUCAAUAUUAUUAAUUUCAUUAUCAGCUCCUACUCUUACUCCAAAGAAAUAUGAUGCUAUUGCUCAAGGAUUUUUAGGACUAAAGUUUUUAUUUACAAACAUAUUAUAAAUUAUAUAGAUAAAUAAUACAGUAGCAACUACUGAUAUUAAUGAUCCGAAACUUGAAACAGCAUUCCAUCCGUUAUAAGCAUCAGGAUAAUCAGGUAUUCUUCUAGGCAUACCAGCCAUUCCUAAAAAGUGUUGAGGGAAGAAAGUUAAAUUAACUCCCACGAACAAUGUUCAGAAGUGUACUUUACCUAAGAAUUCAUUAUAUAAUUUUCCUAUAAUUUUUGGAGUCCAGAAAUAAAAUCCGGCAAAUAAACCAAAUACUGCUCCCAUUGAUAAUACAUAGUGGAAGUGAGCAACCACGUAAUAUGUAUCGUGGAAUGCUACAUCUAAUGAAGCAUUAGAUAAUACAACUCCUGUAAUACCACCCAUAGUAAAUAGAGCUAAGAAUCCUAACACGAAUACUAAUGGUGUAUUAAAUUUAAGACUACCACCAUAUAAAGUAGCUAAUCAAGAGAAGAUUUUAAUUCCAGUAGGAACAGCAAUAACCAUUGUAGCGGCUGUGAAGUAAGCUCUUGUAUCCACGUCCAUACCUACUGUAAACAUGUGGUGUGAUCAAACUAAGAAUCCUAAGAUUCCAAUUGAGAACAUAGCAUAAACCAUACCAAUGUAACCAAAUAUUGAUUUACCACUGAAAGUAGAUACAAUAUGACUAACAAUUCCAAAUGCAGGAAUUAUUAAAAUAUAACAAUUAUUUUGAUUAAUUUAAUAGUCUAAAUUUGAUCUAUUAAUAUUAAUACUCAAAAACUUUCGUUUUUGUUAGGACUCUAUCUUAUACUGAAUUUCUAUUCUCCCGGCGGGCUUGAAUUUUUCAAUUUAAAAAUUUGAUCUAUUCCUUUUUCCGUUAAAUGAUCUUUUGCUUGUAUAAUUAUAUAUGCUUUUCUUCAUUUAAGAUAAUUAUUGUGUUUACUAGAUUGUAAAUGAAAAUUAUCAAAAUAUUUUAUUACUUUUUUAGCUGAACCAAAACUAGUUGAUCCAUAAUAAUAAGUAUUUUGAGUUGAUCUAUAACCUAUAUUACCACCAAAUAUUUCUUUGAUUAAUAAUAAAACAUUAUUAUCUUUUUGAUCAAUUUGAAAAUUUAAUCUAAUUUCAGGUCUAGGUCUAUUAUCCCUAUUAACAAUUUUAAUUUGAAAACUAGCAUCUGCAUCAGAAAAUCCUGCAAUUCAGUGAUUAUUAAAAUCAUUAGAAUUAUUAAUUUUAAACUCUUCCGUAAGAAGGUUUUUUUCCUGAUAUUUAGGAUGAGCUAAUAUGUUAUUAAUAACUUGAUUAAAUUUGUUAAAAGUUCUUAAUUUACCAUUAAUUAAAUUUAUUGUUCUAAUUAUACCUUCUUUAUUCGAUAUAAUAUAUAAAUAAGCAUUUUUAUCUUUAACUUUUUUUACAUGACCAAAACCUAUUAUUUUUUUAAUAUAAUAAGCUAAUUGGACAUCAGGAGAACUAAAUACAAUAAUUAAUUGUUGUAUACAACUAAAAUGUCCGUCUCCAUCAAUUAAACCGGCUAAAUAAUGUCCAAAUUGUUCAUCAUUUAAUGGUUUUAAGUGUGUAGGGAUAUGAAUAGAUAUCUUUUUAAUAUUUUCAGUAUUGUCGCGUAUAGUCUCUGAGGUUCCACUUCUAAAAAAUAAAGUGUUACCUGCUGAUUGGCUUCAUUGUUUUAACUUUUUUACUAUUUCAAUUAAGAGGGAGUAUUUAAAACUAGAUAUCGAAGCUUUUCCAGCAUAUAGCAACAUUACGAGGCUUAUAAAUUUUACCUCAGGAUGACCAAAGAAUCAGAAUAAGUGCUGAUAUAAAAUUGGAUCACCACCACCUGCUGGGUCGUAGAAACUUGUAUUGAAGUUUCUAUCUGUUAAAAGCAUUGUAAUCGCACCAGCUAAUACUGGUAAUGUUAAUAAUAACAAUAUAGCUGUGAUAAAAAUAGCUCAAACAAAUAAUGGUAAUUUAUGUAAUGACAUACCGUUAGUUCUCAUAUUUAAUGCUGUACUAAUGAAAUUUAUAGCACCUAAUAAUGAAGAAACCCCAGCUAAGUGUAAACUAAAGAUUGCUAAAUCAACAGAACCACCUGAGUGUGAUUGAAUUCCAGCUAAAGGAGGAUAUACAGUUCACCCAGUACCAGCUCCGUUUUCAACUAAAGCACUCAUAAGUAAUAAUAAUAAUGAUGGUGGUAAUAACCAGAAUGAAACAUUGUUUAGUCUUGGGAAUGCCAUAUCAGGAGCACCACAGUGUACUGGUAAGAAGUAAUUACCAAAUCCACCCACUAAACCUGGCAUAACCAUAAAGAAUAUCAUUAUGAAAGCAUGAGCAGAUAUUAUAACAUUAAAUAAUUGAUGAUCUCCAGCUAAAAAUUGAACACCUGGAGCUGACAAUUCUAAUCUUAUUAAUAUAGAAAAAGCAGUACCUAUCAUACCUGCAAACACAGCAAAUAUUAGAUAAAGAGUACCUAUUUCCUUAGCAUUAGUAGAAUUUAAUCAAUACAUAUUAUUUACUAUAUAAUCCUCCCAUCCUACCCUCUAUUUAUAAUUAAAUUAUUACAAUUUCAUAUUAUAUCUAUACCUAAAAGUUAUAUUUAUUUUUACCCUUUUUUUUCCUUGUGCUAAAACAAAGUCUUUGUAAACUAAGGAGAAGAAAGAUUCAUUCUUUGCUUACGUGAAACAUAGACAGUAUUUCCUGCUUCGGCCGAAGAAGCUAGGGCUUACUUUUGAUUAAAAGAAAAAAUUUUUUUAUUAUUUGUAGGACUAAAUUUUAAACUGUGAAUCAAUAAUAUCCCUGCUUAGCUGAAGAGCAGCGUGUAGAAAAGGCCUUACUAUUUUUUUACAGAGCAUAAUCUUACUUAUGCUAAGCAAGAUAAAAGCAUUCUACUAAAAAGCAUAAUACUUAGCUGAAUGAACGAAUUAGUAAAAUUAACUGCUGCAUAACAAGCUAGCGCUGCUUAGCUAGAGCUUAUUGGCAGAGUAAGCGUAGCCUUUGUAAAAGAAUUAAGCGCUUGGCUAAGUGAAGCAACAAUUCUUUCAUUUUUUUAAUUUUUUUUAAUAUUACUUUCAAAUAUUAUACUUAUUCUAAGUAUAAAAUAUUUUAGUAUAAUUAAAUAUUAAAUAUAACUUAAUCUCAACUUAUUAAUAAAUAUAUAAUUUGAAGCUUAUACAUAGACAGCUGACUAAAAAAGAAUAAUUUUUAAAUUUAAAAAAGUAGUUUUUUUUUUUCCGGAAUGGAGGUGAGUCGAACACCUAAGGGAUAUUUCCCGAACAAUUAGCAAUUGCCUUAACUUACCAAUGAAAACCAUUCCUUUCAUUAUUUUUUUUUUUCAAUUUUUACUAAAAUAAAAAGGCUAUAAAAAUUACUAUUUAUAACUUUUAGGUUGUAUCAAUAAGAGCAGAAGUCCUGAGCUCUACAAUUAACACACUUCUUACAAAGCUGUUCCCGCUACGCUCCGCCGCUGCUGCGCUAGCGCUACGCAGAGCAGUUGCAAAUUAGAUUUUUUUUGGCAUUGCAAUUGAUUAAGCGAUUAUCCUACGUACUGGGAGCUAGAGAAGGUAGUAGAAGCAGCUUAAAAAAAGGAAUUAAUAUAUAAAUAUUGGUAUAAAUAUAUAAUUAUAAUUUUUUAUUUUUGUAAGAUUUUAAGAUCCGAUUCUUACCAGAAUUGAACUGGUGCUAGCUUUUCGAAAGAAAGCUGUACUAACCACUAUACCAAAGAAUCAUUACAUUAUUUUUAUACUGCUUCUCAGCUCCGCAGCAGCAGCUACGCCUGCUACGCCUGCUACGCCUGCUACGCAGCAGAGUAGCGCUAGCGCAGCGGGAACCUUAAAAAAGACUUGCUCAGCAAACGAAGCAGCAGGCUAUACAAUUAUUAAAAAAUAAGGUUUAUAUUUUUUUUUUUCCUUCUAUCGCUAGCGCAGCGGCGGCGGAGCGUUCGCACGCAACAGCCUUUGUAAAACUGUAGGGCGGGGAAUUCAUGUUAUUUAAAAAUUACGAGAUUAGGAUUUGAACCUAAACCAUAAGCUAAUGAGACUUUUAUGCUACCAUUACAAUAUCUCGUAUAUCUAAUUUCUUUUAAUUUUUAAUAAUAUUUUUAUAUUAUAUUACACUUUAUUUUCUUCUGCUGCGGAGCGCUGCGCUAGCCUAGCUGAAGUAGCACGUAAGUGUAGUAAGAAGAGAGUGCUAUGCUUUAUUUGAUUAAGGAAGCUUUUUAUUUCAGUGGCUUCCUAUCUUAUAAACUGCUAUUCAUCUAUUAUGUCGGUGUAGUAAAUAAAAAAGGAGUGAAGUAAUCAGCUAGCAACCUCUUUUUUUUUGGUUAUUCUGGAACUUGUGUAAGAAAAGAAUGAAGAUAAAAACGCUUUUUUUUUUAUACGAACAAAGAGACUUGAACUCUUAAGGAAUCACUUCCACUCCUGCUUAAGAGGAGAUUGUUUACCAAUUUCAACAUGUUCGUUAUUUUAUAAUUUUAUUAACCAUUCUGUUUAUUUUUAAAUUUUUUAAUUCUUUUGCUAACCAUCUAAAAUAAAAGGGAUAAAUUUAAUAUCAUAGAUAAAGAAAGCUUAUUAAAAAAAUUACUUCUUUUAAUUAAUAUUUUUAUAAUUAUUUUUUUAUUAAUUAUUUUAUGUUAAUUAUUUUUAGUUAAUAUAUGAAAGGCCUUAAGAGGACUUGAACCUCUGUAAAAAGUAUUAACAGUACUCCGCUUAAACCACUCAGCCAUAAGACCUUAAAAACUUUAUCAACUACUACUAUUUUUAUAAGCAUGAUUUAAAAAAAAGAAAGCGGCAUUCAAAAGAAAAAUUAAAAAAAAAAUUGAAAACACAUGGACUUGAACCAAGACUUUCCCAUUAAAAGUGGGACACUCAAACCACUCGAGUUCUGUCUUCUUAUUUUUAAAUUGCUUUUACAGAUGAGCUCCGCACGCUGCAUUCAUUCUAAAAAGGAAAUUCUUGCGGCGCAGCUCCGCACGCACCUGCAUUGCCAAAGGUCCUGCUUUGUUAUUAGUAAUUACUAAGAGAGUAUAAAAAUUUUAUAUAAGUUAAAUUUUUAAUUUAUAGUAGACUGAGUUGACCAGAUUUGAACUGAUAUAAUCCAUUACCAAAAAAUGGUGUUUUUCCAAAUUAAACUACAACUCAUAUUCUUAUAUUAUAAAUACAAUUAACCUUUAGUAAAUAUAAGAAUAAAAUUAUAAAUAUAAUUAAUUAAUCAUUAAGCCGAAAAAUGGAAUUGAACCAAUAUUUAAAUCUUACAAGGAAUUCGUUUUACCAUUUAAACUAUUUCGACUUUAUCUUUAUAAAAAAACUAAUAUAUUAUUUAUUGAACUUGACUUCUAUACUUUGUAUUUUAAAAAAAUUUUAACUAUUUUUAUAAUUAUUUAAGAAAAAAAAAAUUAUAGACUAUUAACUAUAUCUUCUAGCAAAGCAUAGUAACAUAGGUUCGCUUAUAAAAAUAAACGCAUAUGAUAAAUAAUACUUGCUAAAAUUAUUAUAUAUUGCCCCGGGAGAGAAUUGAACUCCCAUAUUUAUAGCUUCAGUAUAACGCUUUGACCACUAAGCAACCGAGGCUUAUUAAUAUUAUUUUUUAAUUAAAGUUAAAAUGUAAAGCGUAAAGCUAAAUAAACGUCACAUUAACCUUAAAAUAUUAAUAUUUUAUAUUGGAGAAAGAUAGAUUCGAACUAUCAAUUUUUAUAUUGCAAAUAUAACAGAUUACCAAUUAUCGUAUUUCCCCUAUUUAUAAUAUUAUAAAUUAAACCAAAAUAUUUUUUUAUUCUUAGAUACUUACUUGAACUUAAGAGUAAGAGAUAAAAAAAUUUAAAAUUUUAUCUCAAUAGAAAGCAUUACAACUACUCUUUUAUAUAUUUGGUUUUUUUUUUUAAUUUUAGCAUCAAACGAGAAAUUUUAUUCUUUGCUUUGCUGCUUCCGCAGGAGGCGCUAGCGCUGCGCUAGGGCUGUAGAUAAUACCUAGCACUUCUUUUUGAAAGAAAAUUUCAACAUAAAAUAAAAAUAUAAGCGAAGCCUUUUAAAUUAAAGCAACCUUGAUCAGCAAUUAAACCUUAUAAAAAAAAGCCUAAUAUAACUUAAAAAAAAAUUUUUUAACAUCUUAUAGGACUUGAACCUAUAGUCUUUUGCUUCGAAGGCAACUGCUAUACCAUUUAGCUAAAGAUGUAAUAUUAUCGCUUACAAUUAUUGUAAAACGUUUUGAUUAUAAAAAACUAAAAGAAGGGUAAAAUUCAGCCCCUAGGCGCACCAACGUCUCACUUCUGCCUAGCCUUAUUUAAACCCUCUUUUAAGUGUUUUUCUCUCCUACGGUCUCUGCGUAGCGGCGCUAGGCUAGCACCUGCCGAAGCGUAGCUGGAGCCGGAGCCGGAGCCGAAGAAGAUAGUCUUAACUAAGAAAAAUUCAUAUUAUGUUCCAGUUUACUUCUUAAAAAAUUAUAAUUCAAAUUUUCAUUUCUUUUAUAUAAAAUUUAUAGAUUUUAUCUGCUAUAAAAAUAACUCUUGAAUUCGUAUCAUGAAUUGAUAUUAAGCCAACCAUUACUAUUUUUUUUAGAAAUUGCUUUAUUAUCGACGCUGGAAACGUAAAUCAAUUAGUUGCUAGAAACAAAGCGUAGUAGUAAGCGUUUCAAUAAAGAUAGGGUGUGGUAGCUUACUUCUUAAUUUAGUAAUUAUCUACUUCUUUCUACGCACUUAAUAAUUAUUAUCCAAAAAAAAUUAUUAUUAUCAUCAGAUGAUUUAUUCAUAUUUUAUACAUAUCCUCUGCUGCUGCAGCUCCAGCGCUAGGGCUGGGAGUGAAAGAGAGAAGCUAGGGGUAAAAUUAUGCGUAUAAUAAAGAAGUUACAGACAUAUGUAAUGUUUCUAAAAUAACAUUAGGGAAUAUUCCUAAUAAUAUAGUAGGAAUUAAUAAAGAUAAUAAUAAAAAGAAUUCUCUUCUAUUAAUAUCUUUUAAAAUUUCUAAGUAAGUAGAAUAACUACCAUAAGAUAAUCUAUUAUAUAGGAAUAAUGAAUAACAAGCUGAAGUUACAAUACUUGUUGCUCCUAAUAUAGCAGUAAUAGGAUUUCUUUCAAAUAUACCUAAUAGGGACAUUUGUUCUCCUAAAAAAUUAAGAGUUAAUGGUAUUCCAGUAUUAGCUAAAGUAAAUACAAAGAAUAAUAUUGUGAAUACAGGCAUGUAAGUCACUAAACCUCUCAUAUAGUAAAUUACUCUAGUAUGAGUUCUAUCAUAGAUUAUUCCACCUACACAAAUAAAUAGAGCUGGAGAUACAAACCCAUGUGCUAUUGAUAAUAAAAUAGCUCCUUCUAUUCCUUGGAUAGUAUUUGAAAAUAGUCCUAAAACUACUACUCCCAUAUGUGCUAUACUUGAGUAAGCAAUUAAUCGUUUAGUAUCUUGUUGUACUAUAGUUGAAAACGAAGAAUAAAUAAUACUUAUUAUACAAAUAGUUUGAACUAAAGGUGAAAAGUAAUGAGUAGCAUCAGGUAAAAAGUUUAUUAACACUCUUAGAUAACCAUAAGUGGCUAAUUUUAGUAUAGUAGCAGCUAGUAAUAUAGAUCCUGCCAAUACUGAAUCAGCAUGAGCUUUAGGUAAUCAAAUUAUAAAAGGAUAAAGUGGUGUUUUAACUGCAAAACCUAUAAAAAAUCCUAACCAUAAAAUUUUUUGAAAAUCUGUAUUUAUUUCAUAUAAAGAUAAUAAUUGAAAAUCUGUAGAUCCUAUAUAACUAUAAAUUGUCAAUAUACUAAGCAACAUAGGUAAACUACCAGCUAAAGUAUAUAAAAAAAAUAGUAAAGCAGAUCUAUAUCUAUCUGCUCCAUGACCAAAAAUUACUAUAACAAUAAAUAAUACAGGUAAAACACUUUCAAAAAAUAUAUAAAAAAGUAAUAAAUCUAAAGAAACAAAAGCACAUAUUUGUAAACUUUCUAAAAUUAAAAAUGAUAUUAAAAAAGUUUUUAAAUUUGUAGUUAUAUUUGUAUAAUUAGACAAUAAUGCUACUGGUGUAACAAAGGUUGUCAAUAAAACAAAAUAUAGUGAUAUACUGUCAACACCAAAAUUUAAAUGAUAUAAAUUUAAAUGAGUAAAUUCAGUAACAAAUUGAUAUUGAGUAAUAUUAGAAUCAAAUUGAUAUCACAUAAAUAAAGAAAUAAAUAAAUUAAUUAAAGAAGUUGUUAAUGCUAUUUGUUUCAUUUUUAAUUGAUUAGAACUUUCUUUGAUAGGUAAUAAUAAAAUAGAACCUAUUAUAGGUAUUAGUAAAAGUAAUGAAAUCAUUUUUUAAUUUUUUAUUUUUAAAAAAAUGUAGCUCUUAAAUUAAAAAAGUGAUCCGUACCGUAAUGCGGUUUUUAAUAAAGAACUAUGGUAUUUAUUUUUUAUUCCGCCUCCUGUAUUUAGGCAAGGUUCUCUUUUAACUUAGAGAAAGAAUGCGUUAAUUAUAUUUUGAAUUAACAAUAUAAACCUUUAAUUGAAUUUUUUUAAUGAUUAUGUUAAGUUAUAAAACUAUAACUUGUAUUAUAUAAUUAAAUAAUAACAUAAAAAUUUUUUGAGAUUUCAGUCGAAUCCAGUAGCACCACUGCGGAGCGGAGGUAAUCUCUUGCUUCCGCUGCUGCUGCUGCGCUAGCGCUACGCAGAGCGCGCAGCCCUAAUUAGUUAAAGGAUUAGGCGGACUUAACCUAAUUUAGAAUAUUUAUUAAAUACUCUACUUUAAUUAUUUUAAUUUAUAUAAAAAAAUAACUAGUACUAGAACUUUUAUAUUCUAGUGUAUAAUAAAAUUAUAAUUAAGGGCUUUAAAUUUAAAGUUUGUUUAUAGCUUAUAAUGUAAUAAACUACAACUCUUAGAUUAGAAAAAAUAACUAUAAUUUCUUCUCCCUAAACUUUCAUAAAUUAAAAAAUAAAAAUUUACUUAUUAAGAUAUGGAUCAGUAUUAAAAAAGCUAAUUAAUAAAAAUUAGUAAAAAUAUAAAUACUGGUUACAAUAUAAUUAAUAUAUUAGUUUUUUAUAAAUAUCUUUUUUGAAAGAAGAGUAAGAGUAAUAGUAAUAGUAAGAGUAGGAAAAUAAGUAGUUAGAAUAAGCACACUACAUUAAUUGCCAAAUCUUAGACUUAUUUAUUUAUUCUUAUAGCAGUUAUUUUUAAACCAAUAUUAUGAUUGAGAGUCCAACCAGAUAAGGAAGUCAUUACUUGAUACAGAUUCAACUGCAAUAGGCAUGAAUCCAUGUCAUACUCCACAUAUUUCAGAACAUUGUCCAUAGAAAAUACCAGUUCUUUCUGAUAAGAAAGAAACUUGAUUUAAUCUUCCUGGUACUGCAUCUAUUUUAACUCCUAAUGAAGGCACAGCGAAAGAAUGAAUUACAUCAGCACCAGUUACAAUUAAUCUGAUAUGGCAAUCAACUGGAAUUACUAAUCUAUUAUCAACAUCUAAUAAUCUAAAUUGUCCUAAUUCUAAAUCUGAUUCAGGAACCAUAUAAGAAUCAAAAUCUAUAGAAUCUCCAUUUUCAGUAAUGAAAUCACUAUACUCAUAUGACCAGUACCAUUGGUGACCUACUACUUUAAUAGUUAAUGUUGGUGAUAAUACUUCAUCCAUUAAGUAUAAUAAUUUAAAUGAAGGGAAAGCAAUAGCGAUUAAUACUAAUGCAGGAGUAAUUGUUCAUAUUAAUUCUAUAGUAGAACCAUGUGUUAAGUAUUUAUGUGCUAUUGGAUUUUUUUUAUCACUAUAGUAAUACAUAAUUGAAAAAAGAGCUCAAAAUACUGAGAAACUAAUUAAAACUAAAUAAAAUGCCACAGUAUUAUGUAAUGUAACAAUUCCUGUAAAUCCAGGAGCAGCACUAUCUUGAAAACCUAAUUGCCAUGGUUGAGCAGCGUCGUUAGAGAUAUAAUUAAAAAUUGAAAAUAAUUGUGUCAUUUUUUUGAUUUAAAAAUAAUUGUCAGUCUUAAUUUACUGAUUCAUCCUUUUCUUAAUAAAUUAUAAAAAUAAAACUACAUUUAUUAUACACUCUCUUUAGAUAGAAAGCUAAAAAAAAAGCAGUUACAUUUUUGUUAACUUUUCUUAAAAAAAUUAGAAUUUAAACACCAUUUAUAUUAUUUAUAUAAAGAUUUGUAUUUUUUAAAAAAUUUAUAGUUACUGCUAGCGCAGCAGCGGAGCCUGCAUAAAUUAACUUCAAUAGAUUAAUUAUUGAAAAUAUUUAUUUAAUAAACAUACUAAUUAUCUUAACAAUACUUGUAUAAAUUAAAUAAUUUUUCUUGCUAAUAGCUACUUUGCUGCGGAGCCUCCGUUCCAGUACUUUCUUAUAAAAUUACGCUUAUAAAAGCACUAGCAUUAUAAGUAAGCACUAGCAUUAUAAACUAGUAGUAGAAAGGAAGCACUCCUUUUUAUCUUUAGCUUUAGCUUUAGAAAUAGUAGCUUUUUUCAUUACUUCUUCUUAAGCCGGAUACCUAGCCUAAGCAAGAAGAAGCCGAAGUACUAGUAUACGGUUUUUAAAAAAUGUAUGCACAUACCUCAGCUCCUUCCUCCUUCCUGCGGAGGAAGGAGGAAGGAGGAAGGAGGAAGGAGCUAGGAAGGAAUUAUAACUUACUAUAAAAAUUGGCAUCUUAAGAUUAAUCUUUGUCUUAUAAUUCUUAUACUACUUUAAAAAAAUAAGUAAAUUAUUAUUUAAUAAGCAAUAUAAUCUAAGAAGUAAAGGAUUUGAACCUUUUAUAUUUUUUAUUAAAUAUAUAAAAUAAAUCAUGGUCUAUUUUAUAUUAAUUAUUUAAUAAAAUUUUUAAUUUACUCUGCUAUGCUGCGCUAGCGCAGCGAUGACUUCCUCUACUCUAUGCAGGCUCCGCAAGUAGCUAGAAAAAUAGAUGUAGCAGAGGCUUUUUUUAAAAUUAAAGACAUAGCUAUAGUAAAAUAACUUCUUUAUUUUUUUAUUUAUUAUUAUAAAACUAGUAUUAUUUUUAAGAUUUUACUUAUAUUAUUUAAAUCUAUUAUAAAAAAUUUAAAUUUUUGCUAAUUCCUACGUACAUUAAAAAAUAGGAUUAUAAAAUUAGGGUUAAUUUAAUAUAUUUAAAAAUAAUAGUAUAAAAAUUUUUUAUAAAUUAGAUUUAUUUUUUUUUAAUAUUUUUAAUUAGAUUUUUCUUUUGCAGCUAUAGCUACAUCAAAUACCGUAUUUUCUAAUAUACCGAUACCUGGUACGAUUAUUAAGAACCAAGCGAAAUAGAACGCAGUAGCUAAUUGACCAAUUUCUAAGAACGGUGAAUCUGGGUGUUGAGAACCAAUUCACAUUAAAAUUAUAAAAUCAACUACAAAGAAUCAAAAUGCUAAUUUCAUAGCAGGUCUAAAUUGAUUACUUCUAGUUCUAGAUAAAUCAGUAAAUGGUAAAAUUAAUAAUAUUAAUAAUGAUCCAAACAUAGCUACUACUCCUAACAAUUUGUUUGGGAUACUUCUUAAUAUUGCAUAGAAUGGUAAUAAAUAUCAUUCUGGUACAAUACUUGCAGGUGUAACCAUAGGGUUAGCAGGGAUGUAGUUAUCGCUGUGACCCAAUGCGUUUGGAUAGUAAAAUACAAAAAUAGAUAAUACUAAAAAGAAUGCAAAUAUAGUUACUAAAUCUUUAAAAAUAAAGUAAGGAUGAAAUGCAUAUCUAUCACCAUGUGAUGAUACUCCAUUAGGAUUAUUAGAUCCAUGGAUAUGAAGAGCUAUUAAAUGAGCUAUUACUAAAGCUGCUAAUAAAAAUGGUAAAAUAUAGUGUAAUGAAAAGAAUCUAUUUAAUGUAGCAUUAUUUACUGAGAAACCACCCCAGAUUAAUUCAACAAUAUCUUGUCCAAACACUGGUAUAGCAGAUAGUAAGUUAGUAAUAACAGUAGCACCUCAUAAUGACAUUUGACCAUAAGGUAAUACAUAACCUAAGAAAGCAAUAGCCAUCAUAAGGAUUAAUAUAAUAACUCCUAUAGAUCAUAGUAAUACUCUAGGGUGUUUAUAAGAACUAUAAUAAAGUCCUCUUGCUACAUGUGAAUAAACAAAAAUGAAAAAGAAUGAUGCUACAUUAGCAUGAACAUAUCUUAUGAUUCAUCCAUUGUUUACAUCUCUCAUAAUAUGUUCAACUGAAUUAAAAGCAAAAUCUACAUGUGCUGUAUAGUGCAUUGCUAAAAAACAUCCAGUUAAAAUUUGUAUUAUUAAACAUACUCCUAAUAAUGAACCAAAAUUCCAUAAAUAUGAAAUAUUAGCAGGUUCAGGUGAAUCUACUACAUAAGAAUUAACUAUUCUAAGUAAAACAUUAUUCUUUAAUAGUCUCAUUUAAUUCCAAUUAAUUUGAACCAAGAAAAAAUAUAUAAUUCUUGUUUUUUUUAUUAACUUCUUUUUUCUUUAAUAAUUUUUUUAAUUUUUCUACUAAUUCUUCUUAAAAAUAAUUAGAAGAAGAAAAAGCCUUUACUUUAUAUGAAGCAGCCUUAAAUCCUUUCCUCCGCAGGAAGGAGGCAAGUGAACCUAGCACUAUGUUAAGAAGUGUACCUUCUCCAUCCAUCCUAUCUCCGCUAGCGCUCUUCAGCAGCAGGAGGCUAGAAAUAAAGCAAAUUAUCCAAAAUUAUUUAAUUAAAAAGUUAAAAUGAUAAUAUUAUAAUUAAACUUUUAACUUAACACCUAAACUUAAUUGAUAAAUUACUUUUUAUAAUUUUUUUUUUUAUUAAAAACUAGCUUUCUUUAGGUUUUCCUAGAUCUAGGAAAAAGUACAAUACUAUCAAAAAGUAGUUACAAUUAAUAGUUUAAGUUCAAAAAGCAAUAGUGUGAACAUAACAUUAUAAUAAAAUUCUUGAUAUUAAAUCAAAAAAUUAAUAGUAAAUAGUUUUAAAUAUUUAUAUGAUUAUAUUAAAUUAUUAAUAAUAUAAAUUAAUUAAACUAAUUGAUGUAUACGAUCUUCAUUAUUUAGCAGUCCUCAGAAAGCAAGUUAAUUUAAAUUUUUACAAAGGCUGGCUAUAGCAGUAGUAGUAGCGCUACCACCACCCGUGGACCCUCGCUGCUGCUUCCGCAGGAGGUGCUAGCGCGGAGCAAGCAUAGCUCCUUACUUAUCCUAGCUACGCAGGAAGAAGCAUGGAGCGCGGCUCCGCAAAGAAAGUCUUGUCUUGAGAAAACUGGACACUAGUUCGCAGUUCCUAGUAGGAGAUUUAUGGAUACUCUUUUUUCAUUAGCACUUGCUUCCGCAAAGAAGAAGCGCUUAGCCUUCUACACAUCAAUUCUUUUCGGCUCCACAAAGAAAGAAACGAACGCAAGCCUUCUAAAUUAAAUUUUAUUAAUUUUUAUUAUAUAAAAUGGAUCACUAUAACAUAGAAAUAAUUUAUAUUACAAUCAAAAAUAUUUUUUUACUAUAUAAUUUUAUAUUACGAUUCUUUUAGGGUUAGGUUCAUAAUUAAAAUUAUAUAAUUAUCUUUGUUUUGCUAAAUAAAAUCAGCACUUCACUUCUUAGCUUAGAAGCUCUCUUUCUUAAGCUUAAGCUUAAGCUUAAGAAAGAGAGUUAGCAGCACUUGCUUUUUUAAGAACAAUAGCAAGUUCUAGUACAUAGCUGCAUCCUCCGCCGCAGGUGCUGCAGGUGCUGCUGCGCUAGCCUAGCUGCCGAAGGAUGCUAGAAAAUAAUGCUCAUUACUUAGUAUACGAAGAUUAACUAAUAUAAGCAUGGUGCGGAGCUGAGGGUAAAAUUAAUAUUUUUAAUAAGGUACUAUAUCAAAAGCAACCAAUAUACUAGGAACUAAUAUAAUUAGUGCAACUGCUAUAGGUAAUAGAUUUAAUCAACAUAAAUCUAUUAAUUGAUCAUAUCUUAAUCUAGGAAGAGUAGCUCUUACUAAAACAAAUAAGAAACAAUGAAAACAAGUUUUUAAACCUAAAACAAUUGAUUGUAAAUUAAAUACAGAAUCGUUUACAAAAAUUUCUGGCAUAUUAUAACCACCAAAAAAUAAUACUGAAGUAAUACUACUGAAUAAUACAAUUGAAGAAUAUUCACCUAGGAAAAAAAAUACAAAAGGUACUGAACUAUGUUCUGUCAUAAAUCCUGAAACUAAUUCCGAUUCAGCCUCUUGUAGAUCGAAAGGAGUUCUACUUGUUUCUGCAAGUACAGAAAUAAAAUAAAAAAUAUAAAUAGGAAAUAAUGGAAUUAUAAAUCAAAUAGCUUGUUGAAAUUCAAUUAUAGUUGUGAAAUUAAAUGAACCUGUUAAAAAUAUAAUAAUAAGUAUAGCUGAACUUAAUAUUAAUUCAUAAGAGAUCAUAGCUGCUGUACUUCUUAAAGAUCCUAAAAAUGCAUAUUUUGAAUUGGCACUUCAUCCUGCAAAUAAUAUACCAUAAACUCCUAACGAUGAUAAAGCUAAAGAAUAUAAGAUACCUAAAGGUAAAUCGCUUAUAGCUAAACCUUUUCCGAAAGGUAUUACAGCUCAACCUAAUAAACUAAAUACUAAUGUAGAUAUUGGAGCUAAAAAAAAUAACACUUUAUUAGAAUGAGAAGGAAUAAUAGUUUCCUUAAGAAUUAAUUUCAAAGCAUCAGAAAAUGGUUGUAAUAACCCGUAGUAACCUACAAUAUUAGGACCUACUCGUCUUUGGUGAGCAGCUAAUUGUUUUCUUUCAAUUAUAGUCAUAAAAGCUACUGCUAAUAAUAUAGGUAAAAUAACACAUAAUACAUCAAUUAAAUUGAAAAUUAAAUUAAAUAUUGAAGAUUUAAACAUUGCCUGUGUCCUUCCGAAAGAUAAGGAAAAAAAUAAAUUUUUUAUUUAUAAAAAUAAUUUUUAUAUUUUUAAUAUAAAUAAAAAAAAAUGUAUUUAUAAAUAAUAUGUAAUUAUAUUAUUAAAAAACUAUUUUUAAAUUAGGUAAAUUUUUUUAAAUUAUUAUGAAAAAUUAAAUAUUCAUUUGAUUAUAAAUUUAGAGAACAUAGUACCCUGUGAUUAGCAUAUAAAUUAAGGCUUACUUUUUAUUGUAUUACUGCUGCUGCAGCUGCUAGCCUAGCGCAGCCUAGCGCAGAGUAAGACUCGUAGUAAACCUUCCCCCUGCUGAAGUAGCUAGCAAGCCUACGUUGGAACAACAGCUACUCCUACGGAGUAGCGCGGCCAUAGGAGGAGGAGCAAGCGUAGCUAGCAAAAGAAUACAAGCACUGCAUUAACUACAAACUACACAUUAUUAUACUAUCAAUUAUUAAGGACUAAUUACUUAAAAUUUUAUUAAAUAAAAAAAACACUAUAACAGGAAAAAAAAAACUACUGCUGCAGGUAAGCACUGCCUUCUUCCUUAGGAAGAGCAUUCCGCUUACCGCUGCUCCUUCUUGUGAAAGCUGCUUCCUCCUGCGUAGCUAGGAAGGCUGCAAGCAGAGUGCGUACCUAGAAGUAGCCAGAAGCAAGCGCACAUAGCUAGAAGUUAACGUCCACCGAAGGAAGGAUGGCUAGGCACCUUCUAAGGUAAGAGGUAUAUGGUACUGCAACAUUUUUUUUUAAUUCUAAAAAGCUUAUCUACUUAUAUUAUCUAUAUUUCUUUUAAUAUUUUUAUUGUUUUAUUUAAAACAAAACAUACGUUUCUAUUAAAAAAAUUUUUAGAUAAAUUUAAGAAAUAUAAAUAUAUUUUUAAGUGCGGUGGCUUAUGAAAUAUAUAAUACUUCUUAUUUAAUAUAAGCAUAUGUUUUUAAGCUCUUCUAAACUAAAGCUAAAGAAGAGUGGCUUACUCUUACUUUAAAUUUAAAUCCCAAUUCGGCUAGCAACGCUUCAGCAAGCAAUGAUUUUAUUUAACAAUUUAAUUGCCGGAGGCCCAAAAAUUCCAAAUUAAUAAAUGAGUUAAUUAUUCAUUUAAUAUUUCAAAUAAUAGUAACUUGACUUUUCAAAAAGUAGUAUUAAGUCUCAAUUAAUUAGUAAUAAUUUGAGAAUAAUCAAUAAUUAAAAGCAAGUAACAAGUCUUUGCAUAGUACGCUUAUAAGCGUAUCCAAUACUUUUUUUAAAGCAUUGUACAAUACAUCCUGCAGAAGCUAGCGCAGCAGCCGGAGCGGAGCUGAGAAGCCUUACCUAGAUAGGAAUUAGGCCUAGCAAUUAAGCACUAUUAUCUAGGUACUAGUGUUUUAAAGGGUAAAUUGUAGGGUAAAUUGUAAUGUUAAUUCUUAUACAUAUCCUUUACUUUUGUUGGCUUUCGCUAGCGCAGCGCACAUUAAAAAGACCAAGAAAAGCAGUAUAAGAAUUUAAUUUAAAAGAAAUUUUGUCCAGAUUUAAUAGAGAUAGUAAAUGCUCCUCUUCUAUUUUUAUUAGUAUAUUUAGCAAAAUUAUUAUAAUUAAUUUUUCCUAUAGAAGAAGAUCCUCUUCUAACAAUUCUUACUGUUUUACGAGGUAUUACUUUAUAUUUCAUUAAUCUUCCAGCAACUUUAAUUGUUAAACCAGUUAAAAAUGCAGGUAUUAUGUUUGUCUUAUCUUUAAUUUUAUAAUUAUUUUUAAUACUUUUAAUAACAGCAUUUUUAAAUAAUUUUCUAGUAAUUCUUCUAAUUUUUAUUUUAUUAAUCAUAAAAGCUAAUAGUCUUACUAAUAUAUUACUAUCUUUAUAAGGAUAAUGCAAUCUAAUUAAAUCAAAUUCUACUGGUUUUUUAAAGAAAUUAUUUAAAAUUUCACAUAAUUUUUUAAAUUUUAAAGGAUAUAAAUUAAUUAAAUUAAUUCUAUCUAAUUUAACUAAUUGUUGUUUUUUUAAAAUAUUUUUCUUUUUAAUAAAUUUUUUUAAUAAUUUUUGAUGGAAUUUAAUUUUAAAAUUAAAAUUAGUAUUAAAUAUUCUUCCUUUUGCUUGGUUUUUUUGAAGCAUUCUGCUAUUAGAUAAUUUAUUAUCUUUAUUAUAGAAUACAUAUCGUUUUCCUUUUUUAACCACACUAUAUUUUUUUUUUUUUUUAUAUUUAAAAAUUCUAGGAACUAAUAAAAAAUAAAACAAUUGUAUAAUAAUUUUAUUUGAUUUAAUAAUGAAUACAGGUUUACUAAUCAAACAAUACAUAGAUCUAAAUGAAGAGUAUAAUAAUUUAUAAAUAUUUUGUGUUUCUGCGGCAUAGCUUCAGAAUGGUCUUAAAUUUUUAUUAUAAAAAUUAUAUCCAAUAAUAUUAGAAAAAUACAUAAUAGUUCCAUUACUUGUCAUAUUAUAUAUACUCAUUGAUUUUAAAUAUUGAUUAAUAAUUGGUUUAUUCUUAUUAUUAUUAAAAUAUAAGACAUUAACUGGAUUAGAAUUUACAGAAAUAGUAUCAGUUUUUCAAUUAAAUUUUUUAGUAAUAAUACCUUUAUCUUGAAGAGGCUGCGCUUGCGCAGAAGUUCCUACUUCUUUAAAAACGCUAGGUAAUGUCGAUGCAAAGUAAUUAUUUUCAUUAUUAGUAAUUGUUUUAAUAGUUUUUUCUAUUUUUAUUAUAUUUUCUCUGCAAGGAUUACUUAAAGUAUUAUUAAGUAAAUCAUCUUCAGAUUUCACUCAAUUACUUAUUUGAGAAUAUAAAUCUGUUUUAUUAUUAUUAGGAACUAAAGAUAAUAAGUCUUUUUCUUUUCUAUAAAUUGUUGUAUUUUGCAGAUUACUAUUAUUUAUUUCAUUAUUAAUAGAAUUUAUAGUAUUUGCUCGUCCACUAUUAAUUUUUUCUAUUUUUUUUAAAAAAGUUUCGUUUAUAUUAAUUAUAUUAAUAAUAUAUUCUAUUUUUUUUAUUAAAUUAUUUAACUUAAAUAAUAAGUAUUUUAUUUCACUUUCUUUGUUUGCUUGCAUUGAGGCUCCUUCUGAAUUUAUAUUGAUUCUGCUUAGCAUCAUACCACUUAUAAAUAAGUGAUUUAUAUCUUUAGUAGCAACUCCCGAUUUAUCAUUUCUUGAUAAAGAACUAGAAAUUAAACUAUUAUUUUUCAUUAUUUUAGAAUAAUUAUUUAAUAUUGUUACUAUAUUAUCUAAAAAUGUUUUGUUUAAUAAAUUUUUUCUUAAGGUUCUGCUUUUUCUUGUCGGAGCCGGAGCUGAUGAAGCUUGAGUAAGUGAGUGUGAAGGACUUACAGCCAUGCUUAUUCCUUUAUUCUUCUUAUUUUUAUUAAUAUUAGAAGAAACUGUUACAGCUUUCUUAUUAUUCUUUGUAGAAGAUUUCUUAGUCUUAGAAUUAGAAGUCUUAUCAGAAGAAGCUAUUAAUUUAUCUAGCAUUUCUAAAGGUGAAAGUUUAAUACUAUUAUUACUAUUACUAUUACUACUAUUACUAUUAAUAAUAGAAUUGUAUGUUGCUUUAAUUAAAUCAAUUUUAUAAAAAAUAUUAGAAAAUCGAAUUUUUAAAUUAAAAUAUAAAUUAUUUCUUAAAAAUAAUAUAAAAUCUAAUUUGCUUCCUUUAAAUGAAUUUAAAUUUAAAUUAUAUUUAUUAAUUGAUUUAACCAAUUUUUCUAAUCUUUUAUUUAGUCUAAUAAUUUUAUAUAUUAAUUUUUUUUGAGGAUUUAAUAAAUUAAAAUUUUUAUAUUUUUUUUUAUCACUUAUUUUUUUUAAAAUAACAGGAACACUAAAAAAAGGUAAAAUUCUUUUUUCUGCAAAGCUUUGUCCAUCAUCACCUUUAACUGCAGGUCUUAUUGACAUACUUAUUACUUUAUCUUGUAAUAUUUUUUCUUGUUCUUCUUUAAGUUUUAGCAAUCUAUUUUUUUUAUUAACUUUUUCUUUAUUUGUAUUUAAAAAAAGUCGAAGAUUUUGAUUAUGUUCUAAGUUUUUAUAAUAAAAUUCUUGAUGAACAUGAGCAUCCAUAGACUGAGAUUGUAGUAAUGGUGUUUUUAAUUUCAUUAUUAUUUUAUGUUUAUAUAAAUUAAAUAUUUGCUGCGACUGAGUUUAUAAUUGGAUUAUUGUAUAAUUAAAUAAUAUAUCAUUAUUAUAUUAUAAGAUUAUAAGAUAAUCAUAAUUAAAUAGAGCGCUUUAUUCACACUCUAUCGGGCGGAGCAAAUUAAUGUUUUUUUUAUUAUUAUAGUAUAAAUAAAAAGCACUUAUAUAAUAAAUAAAAUUUAAAAUAUUGCUUUUUCACUUUAUAUUAAAUUCUUUUUCCUACUGCAGGUCCGGCGCUAGCGCUACGCAGAGCGUUGCCUAAGCCGAAGUAGCUAGCAAGCCUAAUCCGAACUGAUUCGCUGCAGCACUCCUAGCUACGCUGCUGCGUAGCUGCCGAAGCAGCAAGAAAACCUAAGCUUCCUUUAGAUUUGCAAAAUGCAUAACAGUACAAGCCUAAGCAAGAACUGCUAUCUAAGUAAUAGAAGCGAAGCAAUACUUCUUAAAAAUAAGAAACGCUUACUUAGAAAAAGCAAAGUAAAUUAAUAUAAAGUGGUGUUAACCUUCAAAUAAUUUAAAUUUGAAGUAGCUUAAAUUUAUAUAUUAAAAAGGAUAAUAAACUAUAUAAAUAAUAUAUAUUUAGAUCUUUUUUAAUAAAAUUAAAUUUAAAAAAAAAAAUUUUUAUGUUUAAAUAUAAUAUUAAACAUUAAAGUUUUUAAUUAAGCCUAAAAAGAUUUGAACUUUUACAGAUUCCUCAUCAAGAAAUUAUUCUACCAUUAAAUUAUAGGCUUUGAUAUAAAUACGAAAUACGAACAGGAUCCUUCCUUAUCCUUCUAGAAGCAUGGACAAGAAUUAUUUGUAAUAAAAUUUAAUUCGAGCCCUUCCAGAUUCGAACUGGGAUAAUCCUAAUUGACAAUUAGAUGCUUUACCUAUUAAGCUAAGGGCCCUUUGAUUUAUUAUUUAUUAUUUAUUAUUUAUUAUUGCUAAUAACUUAAUAAAUUAUUUGUUUUAUACUACGCAUAUCUACUUCCUUCCUGCGCUAGGCUAGCAGCUGCAGCAGCAGCGUGCUGCGGAGCCAGUACAUAGGAAAUACUCUUUGCUGCUUGCGAAAGCAGAAAUUGAUAAAUAAGGUAAUAAUUUUUAAGUUACAAGAAUGAGGCGACUCGAACACCUACGAUUGAUUUUGGAGAUCAACAUACUAGCCAAUUAUAUUACACUCUUAAAAAUAAAUAAAAUAAUGGAUUUAUUAAGAAUAGUAACUUUAAGAUAAUAAAGUGUUAUUUAAAAAUAACAAAUAGCUUAUUUUAUAAUAAUUUUUUGUUAAAAAUAUUACGAGUAAUCAGAUUCGAACUGAUGAUAUCUACUUGGAAGGUAGAGGUUAUAGCCACUUAACUAUACUCGUUUAAUUACUCUUUAAAUAUAAAUGAAUUAUAAUUUUUAUGUUUCUUACUAUUAGCAAAUGUUGAUUUAAAAUUAAUUGAGAAACAGCAAAUCUUUUUUUGCUUGCUUUUAAAAUUAUAAGUGCUUAAUACUUAUAUAUUAGCACUAAUUUUUUAUGUUUUUGUUUUUAUAAAGAAUAUACUCUUUUAAUAAAAAUUACAAAAAUUAUUUUAUUAUUAAAAACAACUUAUACUUAACUAUGUUAAUAUAUUAUUUAUUAACUACAUAAGUAAUGAGUAAUUUUAAAGGAUCAACCAUUCUUAGUUAUGUGGGAGGAUAAAGGGGGGGUUAACAUUAUAAAUCAAUUAUAAUAUACAUUUUGUCUUACCUCUUUAUUCUGCCGGAGGCCCAAGUAAUUAUUAAAAAUAAUAAUUUUUAAUUGCUGCGGAGCUGAGCGCCGGUGCUAGCACAAGAAGCACAGUUUCUCGUCUUAGUAAAGGGAUAUAAAUACUUAUUAAUCUUUAUUUUCUUUUGGAUUCGAACCAAAAUUAGCACUUUAGAAGAAUGCAGUUCUAACCUAUUAAACUAAGAAAAUUUAAUUAAUCAAAAUUUCUAUUUCUGCCGGUGCUUGCGCAGCAGCAGGCGCAAAUAUUUAUUUUUUAAGCUAUUUUUUUAAUUUUUGCUAGUGUAGUUAUAAUAUUUAUUGCUAUUCUCUUUUAGCUAUUAACAACUUUACUAUCAAUACAUAGAUAAUCUAGUUUAUCUUUUAGAAAUAGCACAUUAAUUAGCAUAUUACUUAAAAAAAUUAUAGAAUUAAGAAGGAAUUGAACCCUAAAAGCUAGACUUUGCAGGUCUACUACAGAAACCAUCUGUACUUAACUCUAAGAAAGAUAAGUAUUUUAUUAUUUCUUCUUUUAUAUUAAAAAAUAAAGUUUUAUCAACAGCUUCUUUUAACGAAGGCGGAGCGCAGCGCUCCUUUGUAAAGCUAGGCAAAGCAAUUAGCAGCAAUUUUUAAUGAUUGCUACUCUAGUUCAGUUUGCUUAUGUUUAAGAAUAAAUUUAAAAGUCAGGAAGCUUUGAUUACUAAUUACUUUUUUUUUACUAAAGUCUACUAUCUUAUGUAGAAGUGCUUCGAUUCACAGAGCUAAACUGAAUAAUUUCCUUCUGCGUAAAUAAAACCAUUAAGAUCUACUUUUUUAAGCUCUAGUACUCAACCGUGCUCUUCCUUCUUGUGCUAGCUACGCAGGAAACGAAAACUCUACUAAGCUAAGAAGAGUUAGCACUACUUACUUUCUAGUAUAUAUUUUUUUAGUUAAGAAUUUAAUUUAGAAAGAAUUUAAAAAUAUUCUUUUAGGUAUUAUUAUUUUUAAAUUCAUUUUUUUAAAAGAAUAAGAUUUAAUUCUUAUACAUUAUAAGUCUAUUUACUAAUACUUUUUAAAAAUAAAAAUAAUCUUCCUAUAAGGUAAAGACUAUUGAUUACUAAGAAUUAGUUUCAUUGCGACUUAUAAAUAUAAAGACUAAUUUUAGUAAAGUAAGUUAAAGUAACAUUUCUAUUCUGCCGGAGGCCCAAGUGCUGCUUAUUCGACUUCGGCAGCCGAAGCACUCCUGCGGAAGGAGCUCUUAGUAAAAGCCUUAGUUUAAGCUAAGAGAAGGGAUAUUGCUUUAAAAAUAAAAUUUGUACAAAAAUAAUAAGUGAAGGAUAGCUACUCCUUAUCCUUGUGUACUUUCUAAUGAUAGUAAUAGCUUAUAACAGCAUCCUAGAUUAUACUAGGCUCUGUUAAGUUAGCACUACAGCAGGUUUAAUUAAACCUAAUCAAAAAUUUUAUUUAUAAUUUAGUGUAGAUCUGAUAUAAAAUGUAGCUCUAUUUUUGAUUAAAAUUUACUAAAAAAAAAAUAACUAAAUCAUUAAAAAUUGAUAUUAAUUAGUAAUAUUUAGUAAAAAUUUAAAAAUAGAAUUUUAGGAUGCUCCUUUAUUUCAUUAAUAUUUAUAGUUUAUUACUAUAAAAAAGAAAUAGACCUUUGAUAUGAGACUCUCGUAUAGUAUAAAAUAAAUAAAUAAAUAAUGCCUCAAUUAAUACCAUUUUCUUUUUUAAAUCAAAUAAUAUUUUCUUUUACAGUAUUAUUAGUUUUAGUUUAUAUAUUAUCUAAAUAUAUAUUACCUUUAUUUACAUUUUUACAAGUAAUAAGAAUCUAUAUUACUAAAUUAAGUAAUAAGAACUAAACUGUAUAAUAAUUUUACCCCUCGCUGCAGGUCCGUGCAUUCCUAGCGCUGCGCUAGCGAGCGAAGUAUAACUAUUUUUUAUCUUAAUCUAAUUAUUAAAUUAUAGUUUACUUAUUCUAAUAAAAUUUAGCUACUUUUCUUAUUCUUAUUCUGCCGGAGGGCAGCAGCAGCCGGAGGCCCAAAUUUAUUUUAUUUAAAAGUUUUUAAACUUCUGCAGGUGCUUGCGCAGCAGCCGGAGCAUGAACAAAGAGAAUACUUUUUAGUAGCUAAAAUUUUUAUUUAACACAUUAUAAAAAAAAUUAAAUUAUAAAUUUUAUUUAGUAAGCCAAAUCCAGAAUAAAAAUGUAUAUAUACUAGAUAUAUAAGCAUACUUUUUUUUUUUUAAUUUUAGACAACCUUUAACAUCAAGUUUAUUUAUAAAUUAGUACUGCUAAACUUAAUACUUUACAGUAAGUUCAUUUGCAGCCUACCUAGAAAUGUUCUAUUUCUUAAUUAACGGUUUAACAUUUUUUUUUAUAAGAAAAGUUUCCCUCUCUUAAUAACUAUUACUUUUUAUUUGAUUCUUUAGUUAAUAAAAUUAAUAAUAAAAAAGUUAACAUCCGUUUUUUUAGUAUCUAGAGGUUAGAUUCUUGCUUGAUAUACAUUCAGCACUUAUCUAUUAUGUUUGUGGCUACCCAACUAUGCGUUCCUAAAUUAUUACCUUUAAACUAUUAAAAUUCUUUAACCUAAUUUCUUAGGCUCAAACAAAAACGAAUAAUAAAAAAAUAAAAAGGUUUUUCCUCAAAAAAAUUGAGUCCCUUAUAAUAAAGUAAAAACAAUUGGUACACUAGAGAAACACAGCCUAUUGAUCCUUUCGUACUAGAAGGUCUGCCCCUUUUUACUAAUUAUCUCUUCAGAAGAUAGGGACCAUACUGACUCACGUCGUAUUAAACCCAACUCGCGUACCCUUUUAAUCGGCGAACAGCCGAACCCUUCCAAGCUUCUUCCCCCGGAGGAUAGGAUGAGUCGACAUCGAGGUGCCAAACCACCGAGACAAUGUGUACUCUCGUCGGUGAUCAGCCUGUUAUCCCUAGCGUAACUUUUAUCUAUUGAUCCCCGUCUAUUCCAUACUAUAGCGAGGGGUCACUAUGCCCUACUUACGUAUCUGUGCGACUUAUAGGUCUUUCAGUUAAGCAUGCUUUCCGCCAUUGAACUCUGCGCAACCCUUCACUGGUUGAUUGUUCUCCAUACAAUUCCUAGCUAUACCUUUAAUACUUUUUGGAAAAAAUUAAAAAUUAAAUUUUCUUUUUUUUCAACUUAUUAAUUUUUGUGUAAUUUUUGUUUAUAAAUGUGUUAUAAAUUAUACUGCGAAGCUUCCGCAAGACAUUUCUUUACUGCGGAGCUGAAGUAUUUCUUACGAAAAAUUUUAAUUCUAGUUUUCCAUCCCCCCUAUUUUCUGCGCUGCUGCGUAAAAAAUAAUUAAACUUCUACAUUUAAUUAAAAAUAUCGAAGAAAUGGGAGAUAAAAUCAUAUGAUUUUCCUACUUACUUUAAAAAAAGGAGGCCAACUAGGUUUUUUAUUUUCUUAAUUAAAAAUUUUAAUUAAUUAUUUCUUUUCUUUGAUUAAAUUUAUUAAAUUUAAAAAAAGCGUGCUAUUAUAUAAUACUUAGUAUUUCUUACAAUAGCAAGAAAUUAUUUGUGAAAUUAAAACAUAUAAAAAUUUAAAAAAAAUAUUUUUAAGCCUAAUAAGGCUUUGAUUUGAUUAAUUAUUUUAUGGCUGAGCCAUUAUUGUGGAAAAAUUUGGAUGUACUUUGCUACUAUAUUAAAGACGACCGCCCCAGUCAAACUGCCAAUUAGUCAACUCUCCCUUUUUGUUCGUUAGAAUACAAAUAAGGUAAACAUAAACCCAGCCUUAACUAUAAGGUUUCCAAAAUUAGUCUAUCGACAUCCCUAUUUACUAUUGGAAAAGGCUGUUCUAGAUUUACAUGAUAACUAACUACAGUAGAAGCUGCAUAGGGUCUUCCCGUCCCUCUGAAGAUAACCCGCAUCUUCACGGGUAAUUCAAUUUCACUGAGCAAGUUGUAGAGACAGUGAGACCAUCGUUACACUAUUGAUACCGGACCACAUUUAAUGGCCAACUGAUUUUGCUACCUUAGGAUCCUCAUGGUUAAGACCGCUAUUAACCAGACUUUCAAUUAGUCACAUUUUACUAUGACCUCUCUUAUAUUAAUGGCAUCGGGCAAAUUUCAUCCAGUAUACUAUGAUAUUCAUCAUUGCACUGAAUUGUGUUUUUAGUAAACAGUCGGGGCCUCCGAUUCUGUGCCACCGCCCUAUAUAAUAAAUUAUAUAAGUGGUACCUCUUGUCGUCAAACUUAUGAGGUAAUCUUGCCGAGUUCCUUAACAACUUUUAGCUCUACGCCUUAGUAUUCUCUACCUACGAACCUGUGUCGGUUUAGGGUACGGUAGUAAAAUAAAAUUAUAUUAACAAUCAGACUAUAUCUAAAUUAUAUGAAAUAAUAUAAAUAUAUUCUUUGCUUUUUUAUUUAUUAAUAUAAUAAUAUUAUUAAUAUUAAUUUCCUGGUCCUUAAAAAAGGACUUUCUAUUAUUUACUCAUCAGCCAUAACUUUGGUUAGGGUCCUUAGAGGCCGCAUUCACACACAACGAUUUAAUCUAAUUAGUGCAACCCUUUCGUUUUCGGCGAGAAGUAUUAUUAACUUCUUUUACGUUACUCAUGUCAGCAUUCUCUCUUCAGUUGCCUAUAUAAAUAAUGAAACACUAUUUUUUCAAUAGAUUGACUGAAUGUUCUACUACCUAGAUAAAGAAUUAAAAUACUUAUUUUUAAUUCAAUACCAACACGAUAUCGGUUGAUUGUUUAAGACCCGUUAAAUUUUCGGCGCUACAAUCUAAACUGCUGAUGCGUUGUUACGUACGAUCAUUAUAAGUAGCGACUACCAGGCUCACUUCACAGCUGUAUACGAUUUUGCUACGUCCUUAAUUUCACUUAACAAUCAUUUGGGACCUUGAUCUGUGUUCUCGGCUGUUUCCGUCUUGACUAUUCAACUUAGCAUGAAUAGUCUGAAUAUCUACUAUCAAUUUAUGUAAUUCCGAGAUUCGCCUCCAAAGGUAAGAUUUCUACGUCCCCGCAACCUAAACGCCAAAAAGGUAAUUGUAAAAUUGGUAUUCCACAUUUACCUAAUUCUUGUUGGGAGCUGCCUUUCUGUACCUCCAUAAAUCUUUUAUUGUAGAUGUCAUACUUAAAUAUGUUUCGGUAGAAAACCAGAUAGCACCAGGUCAGAUUGGCAUUUCACCGCUUACCAAAACUCAUCGGAGAAUUAUGCAACAUUCACCCGUUCGAUCCAUUAUAAUCUGGUCUUGGUAAGAUCACCUGGCUUCGGGUCUAAUAAAAGUAACUUAUCCAUCACUAUAUUAAUAUAUAGUCCAGUCGCUUUCGCUAGGGCUUUUAACCUUGCUACUCUUAUUAACUUGCUGACCCAUUAUGCAAAAGGUACGCCGUCAUUCAUUAAUCUUUUUAAAGUAGAAUUUCGACUGCUUAUAGAGUUACUAAUUCAAAUUAUUUCAUAUUAAAAUUUAAUUAAAAAUUUUAAAUUUUCUUGUUUACAACAUUUUUUUUCAAUUACUUUCCUUCACAGUACUUGUUCACUAUCACUAAAUUUAUAAUACUUAGCCUUAGAGGAUGGUUCCCCUAUAUUCCAACAAGUUAUCUCUCGUCGUACUUUUAUGUUUAUAUUUAUUUUUAUAAAUUUACAGGACUUAGAUUUUCACCUAUUUUAGAAGCAAUAUUAAUAUUAAUAAAAAUACUAAUAUGCUAAUAAAAAUAUAAAUUUUAAUAAAGUAGGAAUCAUUCUACUCUAAUAAAAUAAAGAUUUUUAUUAAUUCAAUUUAUAAAAUAAAUUAGGCUAAUCCGAUUUCACUCACCAUUACUUUCGGAGUCUCGGUUGAUUUCCUUUCCUUUCCUUAAUAAAAUGUUUUACUUCAGGAAGUAUUUAAUAAUUAAGGUUUACCUUAGGAUCGCUUUCCCAUUUUUAAAAUAAUUAAUAUUUUAGAAAGCUUUUGGUUUUUUACCCUCCUUUUAUAUAAAUUUGAUAGUUAUCCUUAAUAACCCCUUUAAAAUACUUUGAUGUUAAUACAAUAUUGUCAUCGAUUCUUUUAAUUAUUUAUAUUUUUUUUAUGUUAUCUUUUUAUUUUAAAUUUUUAAUGGAGAUGUAAUUGAAAAAGAAAGCCCACUAAGAUUUUAUAAGUCAAUGAUAAAUCUAAGUAUCACUACUAAAACCUUUAAAAUUAGUAUCAAGCGUACUGAUAAUAAGAAAAUGGUAAACAAUUCUUACAUUCCAUUGCACAUCACAAAGUUGGAUCAUAGUUUAGAUAAUAAGAAUUUCUUUAUAAAAUUAAAAAACCUUAUUAUUAAAUCUACAUCACCGCCACUCCAAGUGCUCGACUAAUCUAUAUAUAUCCUCAAUUUAGGGGGUUAAGGAUAUGGGUUUAAUUUAUUUUUUAGAGUCAAAAGGGUUUUUUUCCAUUAAAUUCGAUAUUUCUUUAUUCAAUUCAGAUUUAUUAGAAUUUAAUUUAUCUUCUAAAUAUUUAUGUGCCUCUUUAAAUUGAUCAACCGUUAAUCCUUUAUUGGCUUUUUCAAAUUCUUGACGUUCUAAAUCGGUCAAGUUUUCAAGUACUGCCGGUACUGUUACAGGUUUUUUUUAAAGCUUGUAAGCCCUCAACUCCUACUUUCUUAAGAAUAUUGGUUACAUAGGAAUCCAUACCUAUUGCUGCAAUUCCUAACUUCAAUUUAGGAACAAAGAAAGGUUGUUUACCCUCUUUCUCAAGGAUAUCAUCUAAUUCAUGACACAAAGCAUAAGUUAGACCUGUACCUACACUGAGAUUGACAACAUUCUUAAUAGUAUAACCACCAGCCUUUCCUAUAGUAUUUAAAAAAUCUAAAGGUGAAUUUCUAACCAAUAAGUUACCAUUUAGAACAUUAUAAAACCAAUGUUUAAUUUGUCUAUAAAUAUAAUACAAUUUAUAUAAAAUAUAACUUAUAGAUAUAAAAGUUAUAAUAUAAAAAUAUAUUUUAUUUAACUUAAAACCUAUACCACUUAUUAUGAUAGUCAUACACAUAGGUCCAAUUAAUUUAAAUAUUCUCACAUAUAUAUUACUAUCAAAUUUAGACAAACCUUCAGGAACAACAGGCAUACUAAUUCCAGCUUUAAAAGCUGAUCAUAAUUUAUUUAUAAUUUUCAUUUAAAAAAUGUACCAUUAUGGUGAAUAAAAAUAUUAAUUUCUAGUUUAAUUAUUUUUUUUUUAAUAUAUUAAAUCUAGCCCUUUACUGAAGUUAAUUUAUAAAUUAACUUAAUAAGAGAAAGAUUUAAUAAGAUUUAAUUAAACCUAAGUACAUAAAUAUGUACUAAUUAACUGCUUAAAAAAGAAUUUAUCUUUUGAACAGAUUUCCACUGUUAAUUUCUACUAAUAAGAAGUAGAUGUUAUACUUUAACUACAAUAUUUUUAGGGGGUAAACUUAUAUUUAAAAAAAUAUAAAUUACCUAAUGGAGAAAACAUUCAUAAUAACCUCCAUUAGAAAAGGGUGUGAGGAGCUAGGAUUCGAGGAAAAUUUUUUAUUUUAUUAAUAAUUCUUCUUUUAAGGUUUUUAUAAAAGAUUAUUUAUUAAUUUAUUCUUACUUACUGUAAUUUAAAAUUUUUUAAAUCUUAAUAAAGUUAAUUAAAUAAUGCAGAGGGUAAAAUCGGAGACUUGAACUCUGAACAUCGUCGCCACAAGACGUUAUUUUACCAUUAAACUAAUUCUACCUCUUAAAUUAAAAAAUUUUUUAUAUGAAAUUAAUACUGCAUCCUUCCUAGCUCCGCAGGAGGAAGCAGCUUCAAAUAAGGUGCUAAUGCUACGCUGCACUAGUGCCUAGUCUAGGCAAGUACUAGCGAAGCAAAUGAUACCAAGAAAGCACUUCUUUUAAAUAAAAUUUAAAUAGAUUAUAAUUUGUAUUUAUAGCUUCGGGCACUGUCGGAUUUGAACCGACGACUUUUUUUAGAAGUACUCGUUUUCAAGACGAGCGCCAUAAACCAGACUCGACCAAAUGCCCUUAAUUUUAUUUUAAUACUUAUUAUUUACCAUCCUAGCAGCACUAGUUAAUAGUUUUUACUAUAUGCUGCAGUAAAAAUAUUUUCUAAUAAAUUAUUAUACUAUUUUAAUUAAAUAUAAAAUAUAUAAUUUUUUUGCUAAUUAUAAAUUAAGACCUAAGGGAAUUGAACCCAUAUAAUAUCCAUUAUGAGCGAACUGCAUUAACCGUUAUGCUAAAGUCUUUUUAUUUUAAAAAUUAUAUUCUUUUAAUGAUAUAUAUGUUAUUAGAAUAAUAAAUAAAAAUUUGUUUGCUUUUCUAUGCUAUACUUUAUUCCUGUUAUAAAAAGUAUCACAUGUGUAAAUAUUAAUUUCCUCUUUUUUAAUUAUAUAAAAAGGCUAACAUGAAAGAUGCUAGCUAUAAUGAGUAUUUAUAAGACAUCAAAUAAUAAAUUUAAAUAAAAAUAAUUUUAUUUCCUACUUGCUGCUUCCUCCUGCGGAGCUAGGAAAGAUGCUGAGCAGGGAAGCACUAACCUUUAUAUUUUUGUUCGUUUAUAUUAAUUACUAAAGAGAGCGAAUGUAUAAUUUCAGGAACUAACUUCACUUUUUAGAAAAUAAAUUAUUUUUUGUUAUUACAAUUAGGGGGUAAAAUUAAUUUUUUAUUGCUUAUUUUCUUUAAAUUAGUGUAAAUCUAUAGCGUCUUUUAAGUAUGAACAUACUAAUAAUGUAAGUACAAAACUUUGGAUGAAAGAAACUGCUAUUUCUAAUCCUAUUAAUCCUAAGAAUAUAGUAAAUGGUAUAAUAGUUAAGAUAGCAAUUAUUAUACUACUUGAAAAUAAUUUAUAUAAAAAUGUUGAUAAUAUUUUUAAUAAAGUGUGUCCGGCUGUAAGAUUAGCGAAUAAUCGAACUCCUAAAGACACUGCUCUAGCAAAAUAACUUACUAGUUCAAUUAAAACUAUUAAAGGUACUAAAGCUAAAGGUGUACCUGAAGGUAUGAAAUAAGAGAAAAAUUUUAGUUUAUGUAUGUAUAAAGAUAAUAUAGUUACUCCCAUAAAUAUAGUAACAGAAAAUCCUAAAGUUACUAUAGCACUAGCAUUAAUAGCAAAUGAAUAUGGAACAUUAGAAAUAAGAUUUCCUAUUAAAACAUAAAAAAAUAUACUAUAAACAAAAGGUAAAUAUACUUCAUUUAAUGAUCCUAUUUGAUCUCUUACCAUAGUACCUAAACUUUGGAAAGAAGAUUCAAAUGCAAUAGAUCAUUUAGAAGGUAUUAACUUAGAAUCGUUAUUACCGUAUAUAUGUAAUCCUAAAAUAAUAAUUAAUGCAAAUAUAGCAUAUAAACCUAAAUUACUUAAACUUAAGUUUAAAUAACCUAAAAUGGGAGCGUUAAAACCUAUUAAACUAUUAACCUCAAAUUGACUUAAGGGAGAUAAAAUAAAUAAUGAAGACACUAUUGAGAUUAAUCAAUAUAUUCACCUUCUAAAGAGUAAUUUUUAAUUUAACUUACUUCCUGUUCAAUUAUGCAGGAGUAAGAAAUGCAAUUUAAGUAAGCUAGCCUUUCCUUUAUAAAACGUUGGUUCAAGAAUACUACUCCUUACUUAUGCAAGGUUUUACUUUUGAGAUAGUAGUACUAUGCUUAUAAUUAAUUAUAAGUCCUUAUUAGACUUAGAAAUUAUAAUAGCAGCAAACAUUGCUAAUAAUAAAAUAAUACUUAAAGUAAUUAAUAAUAUAGCUCCAUAAGUAUAUAAAUUAUGACCUAAAACUUCUAUUUGUUGAAAUAUUGUAAGUAAUAAAUCUGAAGAUGAAGGAUAAUAAACAUUAUCAACUAUAGAAUUAAUUAAAUUAAUUUUAAUUAUAUAAUAAUUUGAGAACAAUCCAUUUAAAUAAGUUAUUUUAUCUAAAAAAAUAGAUAAAACAGGUACAUUAUUAUAAUUAAAUUUGAUUAUUGAAAAAAUUAUAAAUAUAAAUAAAAAUCCUACAGCUAAAGCUAAAGGUAAAGUUUUAGUAUAUUGGCUACCUGUUUCUAAAAUAUCAGUUAGUUUUAUAUUUAUCAUCAUAAUUACAAAUAAAAAUAAAACAGCAAUAGCACCUACAUAAACAAUUAUAUAUGAAAUACCUAUAAAAUUUAUUCCUAUUAAAAUUAGAUAACCUGCAGAUAAUACAAAAGUACCAAUUAAAAAAAGUACUGAGAUAACUGGAUUUUUUGAAGUGAUUGAAAAAAUACUUGAUAGUAAUGUAGCAAAAGCUAAUAUAUUUAUUAAUAAAGUUGUCAUUGUAUAUAAUGAAAUGAAUUUUUUUAGCUUACUUAUUCUGCGUAGCGCGGAGCCUUCUACCUUUUAAAAAAAAUAUGAAAAAAAGUUAAAAGCAAUAGAAAGAAAGCACUCGCUCUUAGUAAAACAAUGUAUCUGAUGCUCGGCUCCGCAGCGGCGGAAGUAGAUAGCUAGCCUGUGUAUCUAGAUGAAUAUUUCAAAGAGUUGCUAACAUUACAUACAGAAACAAUAGUUUUAAAAAAUACUAAUUUUUAAUAGUAAUACUAGCACAUAAAAAGUAUGGAUGUUUGGCCUGCUCUGCUGCUUCCGCAGGAGGCGCUAGCGCUAGCGCAGUGCUGUUUAUAAUCUAGCAAAAAUGAUAGAAAUUAGUAUUUUUUUAUUUUUUAUUUUUAAAUUUUUAAAUUUUUUAUAAACUUGGUCACUUAUUGCUCUUAAAAAAUAGCAACUUUUUAAUCUGAAAGCUUGCUUUGCUUAGGAACUGUUAUCCAACAGAAAGUUAUUGCUAAUUAUUUAAAUACAGGAACUCAAAAACAUAAUAUUAAAUUUAAAGAUUAAAAGUUAAAAAAUAACAAUUUAAGCUAAUAGACUACUUUAAAUAUUUUAUUUAUAUAAACAUAAAAUGUAAAUAGUUUUACAUAAAUAAAAUAAAAAAUAGCAGGUUUAACCAAAAAAAAAUACCUUUAAAAAAAAAUUUAUUUUAAUUAUUUAUAAAGGCACAAUUAUUAAGCAUUAUAUUUUACAAAAAGAAUGCUAAAAAUAAAACGCUACUUAAAAAUAUAAGUAAACUGCUUUGAAUAGGAAAAGUGUUAACACUCCUCAGCUCCGCAGCUCCGCUGCUCCACAGUAGCUAAUAUUAGCUAACAAAAGUUUAGCCUCUUACUUUUAAGCCUGCUGCUGCGCAAGCACUUGUUAUUUUUGUAAAAUUUUAAAACCGCCAACUAAAUAUAUUUUAAAUUAUCAAUUUAACAUAAUUUAAACAUUUAUAAUAGUUAUAAGGUUCAUAAUAGUAAGUGUUUGAUUAAUUUUUUAAAUUUGUAUUAUAAAAAGUAAUGUAAUUAAUACUAUAUUAUAAUAAUUUGAGUAGUCUAGGAAUCGAACCUAGUACGGUUAUAAACCAAUUCUUUUACAGAGAACCACCAUUACCAAUCGGAUCACCUACCCCUAAAUUAAUAAAUAAAAAUAUAGCAAAACUUAAGCUCCAUACUAGCCUCGCUUAUAAAAUUUAAUAAAAAAUAUAAAAAAGAAUAGCUAUAAUAUUCUAGCAAGAAAGAAUAAAAAGUGUUAUAUUAUAUAAUGUAAUAAAUUAACUUGUAUCGUGGUAGGCGCGACUCGAACACGCUAACUCUCCCACCCAAAAGGAGUAACCAUCCAGUUGGUAUUCUACCACUAAUAAUUAAAGGAUAAUUAUUAUAUUAAAAAAUUGAUUUUAUUAAUCUUUUUUUUUUUUUCUUAUUUUUACUGUUUACAUAGCUAUCAAUAAGACAGCUUUUAAUAAAGAAGAAUGAGUUAUAUAAUACCCUCGCUGCAUAGCACAACCAAUGUAGAAGAGUUACUAGCCCUGCUGCGGAGCCGAGCACGGAGCCUACUUUAUUUAGAUUGCAUGAUACAAUUUCUAGCAUUAAAAACUUGCUAAUCAAAAACAGCCUAAAUUUUAAUUUAGUUUAAUAUUCUUUUAAUUAUUUUAUAGUUUAAAAAAUAAAAGUAUUUAAUCUUUGCUUAGCAAUUGAAACUUGGAACUUUUUUAAUUUAAUUAACAAAUUCAGAUGCUUUUUAAAUUUUUAAUUUGAUAAAGUGGGUAAAACUACAAUUUUAAUUGUUUAUAUUAUCAGUAUUAGAUAAUGAGAUAGCCCCUGAUCCUAUUUCUAAAACAAAUCCUAUUGUUAAAACAAUAAAAAAAAUAAUAGCUACAGAGAAACCAAAAGUACUUACUUGGUAUAAAGUAACACCUAUAGGCAUUAAUAAUAAUAUUUCAAGAUCAAAUACUAGGAAUAAUAAACCUACUAUGUAAAAAUGAAUUUGAAAUGUAGAUCUAGUUUGUCCUUCUAUUGCAUUAAAACCACACUCAUAUUGAGAAACUUUAGCUUCAUCAGGUUUAUGUGAUGCUAAAAAAAAGUUUAAAGCUAAUAAAACAAUAGCUAAUAUAGGAACAAAAAUAAAUAAGAAAAGUAAAUUAUUCAUUAAUGAUUAAAUAAAGAUAUAGAUAGUAAUUGUGUUGUAUUUAAAAUUAAAGUAGGUUUAAAAAUAAAAAAUAAUAUUGAUAAUGUUAAAGUAGAAAUUAAAAAACUAUGGAAAUUACUUAAUAUUUCAUCAUUACUAUUACUUCCAGUAUUAAUUACUUCUUUAUUAGUAUUAGAUGAAACAUCUAUAAAAAAUGUUUUUAUUAUUUUUAAAUAAUAUGAAGCACUUAUAACACUGACAAAUAUAGCUAUGAAUGCUAUAAAAUAAUAUCCACCUUUUAUUGCUGAAUAUAAUACAUAUUGUUUUGAAAAAAAUCCUAUUAAUGGUGGUAUACCAGCCAUAGAAAAUAAACAAAUACUGAAACUUAAACUAAUUAAAGGAUUUGAGUAAAAUUGACCUUUAAAUUCAGAAAUAUAUCUUAUAUCUUUAAUAUUAUUUAAUUGAUUAUUAUUAAUAGAUCUAUUAAUUAGAUAACUAAAUGCAAUGAUAAUUAAAAAAAUAUUUAAAUUAGUAAUUAUGUAUUGUAUAAUAUAAAAUAUAAAUGAAUCUAUAGAUUGUUUUGUAUGAAUUGCUAACGCUAAUAAAAUAAAUCCAAUAUGACUUAUAGUACUAUAAGCUAAUAGUCUUUUUAUUCUAUUUUGUGCUAAACCUACAACACUACCAAUAAUUAAUGAAAAUAAUGAAGUAAUAAGCAAUAAAUAUUUAAUUACUUCAUCAAUAUUUAACUUGAAUGUAUUUAAUUUAGAAAAUAAAGCUAAUUGAUCUAUUAUAUCAAUAUGUAGAUAUAAAUCUAAUAAUAAUAUUAAAAUAGAGAUUUUUGGUAUUAUAGUUAAUCAAAUAGUUACUAUUGUUGGUGUUUCAUCAUAAACAUCAGGAGAUCAAUUAUGAAAUGGAGCGGCAGAUAUUUUUAUUAAAAAUCCAAUAAAAAUAAAGAUUAAACCUAAAAAUAUAGACACGCUUAAUUCGUUAGAAAAGAAUGGAUAAAUCAUAUCUAUUAAAUUAUUAUUAACUUCUAUAUAAUAUAUAGAAAUUAAGCUAUAAAUUGAUUCAAAAUUUGUUAAUCCAGUAUAAGCAUAAAGUAAACCUGAACCAAAUAAAAUUAAACAAGAGGCUAAACCACCUAUUAAAAAAUAUUUUAAUCCUGCAGAUGUAGAUGAUUCUGAAUCUCUAUAUAAAGUUGAUAAAACAUAUAAAGAAAAAGAUUGUAACUCAAUACUUAAAUACAUUGAUAUUAAAUCUGAACAAGAAAUUAAUAAGGACGCACCUAAUGAACUAAAUAAAACUAUUAUUGAAUAAUUUAUAGAAUAGCUUAAAAAUUUAUUAUUAUUAAGAAUAGAAUAACAAUUAUUAUUCUUAAUAUUAGAACUAAGUAAGCUUUCUGAAGAAAUUUUAUUAUAAUUAUCUAAUAAAAUACUAUUUACUAAAGAAUAUAAAUAAGAUUUAUCUUUCUCUUUUGAAGCAUAGCUUUGAUUACUUAAAGUUAUAGGUUUAACUAUUUCUUUAAUUAACUCUUCUUGUUUAGGUCAAGAAAUUAAUAUUAUUGAACCUAUUAUUAAUAAAAAACUUUCUAGAAUUUGAGAAAUUGUUGUUAUAUUGAACAAUCCUCCAUAAAUACCUAUACCGGAUAAAGAUCCUAAAUUAAAUAUAGUAUUAUAAGUCAAUAUUCCAGAAAAUAGUAAAAUUAUAGCUGAUAUUCUAUGAUAAAAAUCUUCUGAUAAUUUAUCAUUGAUUAAAGCUUUACACAUUAUUAAACUGACUAAGGAAAAAAAAAGCAUUAAAGAGAAUCAUUAUAGUUUAUACUUUUACUGCAGCUGUGCGUAGUGCUAGCGCAGCAGAAGUUUUUAAUUUGUCUAUAGAUAAUAGCUAAAAUUUAUUAUUAGUACAAGAGACUACGCAACAGUGCAGAAUAAGAUCUUUAAAACUACUGCGCAGCACCAACAAUGCUUGCUAAACAGCACAAAUAUAAAUUGGGAUAGCUGAAAGAGAAAAGUUUGGGUAAAAAGAUUUAUUCUAAUAACUACCUAGUAAUAGAUACGAGGGUAAUAAUUAGUAAAUAGCUUUUUACUGUUUUAUUAUUAUUAUAAUAUAAUUAUGAGUAUAAUAAUAAGAAAGCUACCAUUAAGGCGAAUAAACCUGUAGCUUCUGCUAAAGCAAAUCCUAAGAUAGCAUAAGUGAAUAAUUGUCCUCUAAUUUGAGGAUUUCUUGCUGUAGAAGAGAUUAAAGAAGAAAAGAUUACUCCAAUUCCUACUCCAGCUCCAAUUAAACCUGAACAUGCUAGACCUGCUCCUAUGUAUUUUGCAGCUGUUAACAUUAUAAAAAAAUUUAUAUGGGCAAUAUUAAUUCAGUCAGUGUCUAUGAUAAACAAGCAUUGUAUUCAUUUUUAAUUUUUGUUAACUUUAUAAUUUUUUAAUGAAUAAGACCAUUAAAAUUAAUUAUAGAAUUACACUAUAUUUGGAACAAUUUUUAAGAAGGAGAGAAAAAAAAAAUUUUUUUCAGUUUAAGUUACAUCACUUGAAAGUUUAUUAAAAAAGCAAAGUGAUGGAGCAUUUUAAGGAGCUCACUUCAUAUAGCCGAAAAAAGGAAUUGAACCUUCUUUUUACCGUCAUGAAUGGUAUGUUUUAACCGUUUAAACUAUUUCAGCAAAAAAAUUUUUUUAAUAAUCACUUGCUGCUGCUGCUGCGCUAGCGCUGCGCUAGCCUAGCGCUAAGCCUGCGCUUUUUUAGAGCAAGCGUAGCUAACAUCCGCAACAAUUAAGCGGAGAAAGCAAACGCUACAGCCUUACCUUUAUUUUUAGAAAGGGUAAAGAUUUUUUAAGAGUUAGACUUUUAUUUAUCUAUAGGACGAGUUCUGUAAAAAUAUUUAAGACAACUAUUAAUAAUAUAAUUAUAUUAUUAUGGCCGCUUAUUAACUGAAUUUUCUAAAUUAUUCAUAAGUUAGGAUAUAGGAUUCUUAUUUUAAUAACUUUUUAUAUUUUAAAACAAACUAAAGUGUUAGAUACAUAACUUCUACUUGCGAAGCAGGAAACGCUUUUGUAAGCGCUUCAAACAAAAAAAAUAGAAAAAAAAAGUUAAAAUUUUCUUAUUAAAAUUUCCAUAAAAUCAAUUUUAUUUAAAAAAUAUAUCCAAUAAUUAACCUUGAACCUUACCUUAAUUAAAAAAAUUAUUAUUAAAAAUAUAUUUGAUUAAUUUCAGUUUUAGAUAUCUUAACUCUAUUUUUAAACUAACUAUAAUAACUUUAAAUUACUUAAAAAAUUAUAACUAAGUAUAAAUAGCUGAAAGCAAUAUUUUACAGUUAUUUUUAAAUUAUACGAAUAAAGAGACUUGAACCCUUACAAUCUUUGUAAUUAUGAGUUCCUAAAACUCACCCGUCUACCAAUUUCGGCAUAUUCGUCAAAAAAAUUAAUAUUGCUGCUGCGCUAGCGCUGCGCUAGCCUAGCUAGCUAAAAAAAACCGCUUACGCUUCAUACUAGUAAAGUUCAUGCUUGCAGUAAAGAAGGACUAAAUUAAUAAGAGUUUAUUAACUAUAAUUAAACUAACUAUAAUUAAACUUUUCUAAAAGCUGCAAUUACUUAUAUAUAGAAGGUAGAGUAAUCGAAACUCUGUCUUUAAAGUGUAAAUUUAACGCUAAAACCACUCAGCUAACCCUCUCAUUUUUAUAUAUUUAGCGCACUUAGCUUAUUUCCAAAGGAAAAGAGUGCUUAUGCUACUUCCUCCUGCGGAGCUAGGAAGGAGGCGGAGCUAGGAUGCUAGGAAAGGGGGUUUAAAUA